CCGUGUCCCUCGUCACCCGAUGGCCUCUCUCGGCGUGACCGUCCUGGCUGGGUGACCAGGCUUGUCAGGCCCUUCAUGCAUUCCCGACCCUCCCCCGCCCCUUGGUUUAACCUCCAGGGGAUCUUUCUAUUGACACCUGCACGCCUUGUUUCCUCCUCCUGCGACUUCCUUGGCGGCCGUCUGUGCAGAUCGCCCGUCUGGUUCUAUCCACCUGGCACAGCCGGAAUGCUGCUCUGUUUCCUGCACUCCCAUGCAACAAGUAAAAAAAAAUCAUUCCUGCUGUGUGUUUUUUUAUCUCCGUCGAGAGGCUGAAACUCAAUCCGAUUGUCCAAGUGCUUCUGGCCGCAUUUGGGUCAGAGUAGACGGAGUUUGAUGAGGGUCGUAAAAUCCAGGCUUUGAACGGGUCUCAAAUUGGCGCAUGAAGGAGAAACACGGAGAGUAGAAACAUGGCGGCGGCAGGAGGCUCAGGAAUGUGAGCUGCAGAACCGGGUGCAGGUGCCUUUAAUAACCCACAAGCUUGGCUGUAACUUGCUUCUAGAAACGCAGAGGAGGCUGCAGGGUCGCCCUCAGAGGACUGGGAUCGAACUUCUCAGUUCCCUACUCUUGCACAGCUUUAAAAAUACAAAUCCCAGCAUCCUCCAUAACAACGGACCCCUCAGCCAGCUCAGGGAAACGGCUGCAGCCCCACUGUCUCCUGUGAAGUGCCCCGGAUUGGAUUUCCGAGGCCCCCCCGGCCCCGAGGACCACUCUGAGGCUCAGGCCAGGGACCUCAUUCCGCCCACACGCCGCUGCUGCCCGGAUGGAAUCCAUCGACUCCCGUAUAUCAACACCUCCCCUGAAACAUGAAGGAUGCGACGGUUUCAAUGAUUGAUUUAUUUCAAGCCACCAGUCGUGGCGGAGACAUCAAUAGGCUCGUGUUAGGAUUCCCCCUAAUUUUUCAGGCUUUCCAAAGGACAGCUUGAAAUAUCUCAGCAUGAAUCGAGCCAAUGUAGAGAGGAGGCCUGAGGGGAUGAUCAGGUCAGCACCUGCCACCCCCCCCCCCACCCCCCCGACGUGGGCUCUCCAGGGCACAGGCCAGGUGUCCUUAACCCAACUCUAUGUGGUGACUAUGAAUGGAGCAGCUUUACCGCAUCGAGUCCUGUUAUAGCCCCAGGGACACAGUGAGGAAAACGAUGUGGCCUUGACCUUCGAGGAGCUCACGGUCCAGUGAGGGGUUUGGGUUGUGCACAGAAAGGCUUAACACCCCUGAUUAUGGCUUAAUAUAAAGAGCAGGUGAAGGUGAGCUGGGGAACACAUAGCAGAGAGAGAAUAUUCGAUGUUUAAAUAUUUUUCACAAAUCACUC
RNAcentral lists this long non-coding RNA (1343 nucleotides) under Equus caballus (horse). RNAcentral describes it as "lncRNA (ENSECAG00000053154.1)". Lineage: Eukaryota; Metazoa; Chordata; Mammalia; Perissodactyla; Equidae. The record is from RNAcentral.